UACGAAGGGUGCAAGCGUUAGUCGGAAUUACUGGGCGUAAAGCGUGCGUAGGCGGUUUCUUAAGUCCGUUGUGAAAGCCCUGGGCUCAACCUGGGAACUGCAGUGGAUACUGAGAGGCUAGAGUGCGUCAGAGGAUGGUGGAAUUCCCGGUGUAGCGGUGAAAUGCGUAGAGAUCGGGAGGAACAUCAGUGGCGAAGGCGGCCAUCUGGGACAACACUGACGCUGAGGCACGAAAGCGUGGGGAGCAAACAGG
Molecule: ribosomal RNA, 253 nt
Filed under: uncultured bacterium
Lineage: Bacteria
Description: partial 16S ribosomal RNA
Rfam family: Bacterial small subunit ribosomal RNA
Source: RNAcentral